Molecule: long non-coding RNA, 2737 nt
Filed under: Nicotiana tabacum (common tobacco)
Lineage: Eukaryota; Viridiplantae; Streptophyta; Magnoliopsida; Solanales; Solanaceae
Description: long non-coding RNA (NTAB_LNC007828)
Source: RNAcentral
CAGCCAUUGAACAAAAGAGACCAACGACCCACCCCCUGACUUCGUCGUCUCCUUCACACCCCCCCCCUUCCAACGUCUUCUUCUUCAGCCAUUAGAGACACCAAACAAACAGUUGCUGUCGCUGGGCCUCUAUUCACCGCGAAGCUGCCAUCUCCGGUGAAGCUUCACCUCACAAACGACCAGCCAACAACAACAAAAUAGUUGCAUCAUUUCCCCUUCCAGUCCAGAUCAAGCACGUAUACAUAGGGAGGGAGCCGGAGCGAAAAUGAACUAAGUUUCUCAUCUCUAAUACACAUAGAGGAAACGGACGAACAGAAACAAUUGCGGGAUUCGCACUCCUUGCCAUGGGUCUAGCUUGUGCGUUCGCUAGUGGCUAGAUGGAGUUUUGUCUGAGUUGAGGUUGGUUUGAGUUCGUCGCUAUUCAUCGAGGUUCGAUUUGCGAUCGUUGUUUUCUGUUUCCGGUUUAAGGUCUGAGCUUCGAUUCUUUCAUUUACAUGUUUUGGUUCUGUUAUUUACGAUGCUUUGCUUAUGAAGUCUUUGCUAUUGUUAAUUGCUAUCUCCCUUUAAUUUCAUAUACAUGGUCUUGAUGACAUGAAUUUGGAGUUACUGGUAUGGAUACUUUGAAGAAGUAUGUUCUGUUUAGCUUCUUGUUAAGGUUUUCUCAUAAAUGUAUCUAAUGCAAUCUUGAUAGGCUUUGUUUACUGUUUCGUAAAUACUACAUUCAUCUUAAUUGUGGUGAGCUACUUUCAUUAGUCUGUUUAUUCACUCCAAUAUCCCGAGUUCUUUGUUUGAGUGUUGUAUUAGGGGUUGGGGAUCCUGCUGUGUAUAUUUAUGAGAUAGAUAGAUUUGGGUCUAGCUAAUGCGAAAUGGCAGAAAUGAGAAGUUCGGAAAAUUGAUAGAAUGUCAUGGUUGCCUGUUUUUAAAUUAAUUUCCUAAAAUUCGGGUGUGCAUUUCAUGUGAUCCUGCCAUAAUCUUGGAUAAUAAUAAUGAAAUAAGCAUGUUAAAAUCCGAGGGUGCAUUUCAUGUGACCUGGUUCUAAUUUACAACAAGGUUAAAUAGAGCGUGUCGUGAACCACGGGUGCAUUUCAUGUGGUGUGGCUUGCGAUAUGUUUUAAGUGACCUUGAAUUAAUUCUUUAAAUAACAAAAGCGGUUUUUCAAAAGUUAAAAAUGCACAUAGGUUUAAAAGUGUUUUAAAAUCAGAUAAUAGGCCAAUUAUAACAGUUGAGCGACCGUGCUAGAACCACGGAACUCGGGAAUGCCUAAUACCUUCUCCCGAGUUAACAGAAUUCCUUACCUGGAUUUCUGGUUCGCGGACUGUAAUACAGAGUCAAUCUUUUCCUCGACUCAGGAUUUGAACCUGUAACUUGGGACACCACAAAUCAUCCCAAGUGGCGACUCUGAAUCUUUUAAUAAAUAAAUCCCAUUUCGAUUGUCCUUUAAUUGGAAAAACUCCCCAUAUACACCUUUCCGGGGGUGUAGGUAAAAAUGAGGUGUGAUAGCUCUGACGACUCUGCUGGGGAUCGAACCCAGAAUCUCUAGUUCAAGGUUCAAGAAUUCGAGCUUAGAAUAAUUGUUAUAGUUGGCUUUAUCCAUCAUCUUAUUUUGUUACAUGAUUUAGGCCUAAUGUGCUAAUUGAUUGCUUUUACCGCUUUGAUAUUCCGUGAACUGUAUAUAAACUGUUGCAAAAUCCCUCUUCCCUCUGAGUCUUCUGAAUCAUGAAAACGUGUGCACUUCGUGUGACUUCUUUUCUGUUAGAGUUAUAUUCCAAAUUUAGAACGAGGUUCGGACAAGUUGCAAAGCCAGUGAAGCUUUUGUAUUCCCGGUACGCUGCCCCCCUUCGGCUCGAGCUAUCCGCUCGAGUAAGCCAGGUCUAGAACAAUAAACCCAGGUUUUGAACCUAGUACAACGAGACCUCAUGCCGGAUCCCUAGUAGGAACGUUUGCUUGCAUCAUGUGCAUUUAACUUUGGAGACUCAACACAGGGGUUGGGUCCGUCUAGGACAAGUAUACCCAAAAAAAUAAAAGAUCAUCCUGAUGCAUCUUAUGUGCUACAUGUUGCAUUUCUUCAAUGUAAAAAGGGUCAUUUGGCGGACCAAUGAUAGCUGAGGGUAAAUGAAGAAAUGAAAAAAAAAACAAUGAAAAAAGAAAGAAGAAAGAAAAAAAAAAAAGAAAAGAGAGGGUGAAGUAUGAAGAUAAAGCGAGUGAGACCUAAUUAUGUUUUCUGUUAUAUUUUGUUAAGAAAAAAAAGAGCUUGAAAUUGUACUUUUUCAUCAUUUUUCAAAAAUUAAAAAUNNNNNNNNNNAAAAUCAAAAGGGGGGGGGGGAAUUAAAAAAAAGAGUUUACAUGUUUUAUCAUUUUUCAAAAAAAAAAGAGAGAAAGAAAAGACAAAAAAAUAUAUUUUCUCUAAAUUAGUUGUUAUUUUUAUUUUUCGCCCGUAUCCAAUCUUUCCGAACUACGCAUACCUGAUUCUCAUCUUUCGGGGCGUGAUACGUAGACAACCCACAUAAGGUCCGGUCUUCCUAGUAAAUCUUAGGUUCUUGGCUUUGCGGGGUCUUAGCCAAAUUUUGCACUUCUAACCACCUUUUGGCCAAAUAAGUCACUUUGCAAAAAUAGCCUCAAUCAUGUCUUGCAUGUGUCUAGUAGAGAAUGUUAUUGUCUCACAUAGUGUUAGUUUAAGUUUUCUCAUACAGGUGUGGAUCCACUUACCGGAGUUUGAACAUGACAGAUACCCCAGGAC